RNAcentral lists this ribosomal RNA (253 nucleotides) under uncultured bacterium. RNAcentral describes it as "partial 16S ribosomal RNA". It matches the Rfam family "Bacterial small subunit ribosomal RNA", at positions 524 to 776 of the family's 1533-position model. The record is from RNAcentral.
UACAGAGGUCUCGAGCGUUGUUCGGAUUCAUUGGGCGUAAAGGGUGCGUAGGUGGCGCUGUAAGUCGGGUGUGAAAUCCUGGGGCUUAACCCCGGAACUGCAUUCGAUACUGCAGUGCUUGAGGACUGGAGAGGAGACUGGAAUUCAUGGUGUAGCAGUGAAAUGCGUAGAGAUCAUGAGGAAGACCAGUGGCGAAGGCGGCUAUCUGGACCAGCACUGACACUCAGGCACGAAAGCGUGGGGAGCAAACAGG